CGCGGCCUAUCAGCUUGUUGGUGGGGUGAUGGCCUACCAAGGCGACGACGGGUAGCCGGCCUGAGAGGGUGACCGGCCACACUGGGACUGAGGCACGGCCCAGACUCCUACGGGAGGCAGCAGUGGGGAAUAUUGGACAAUGGGCGAAAGCCUGAUCCAGCAACGCCGCGUGAGGGAUGACUGCCUUCGGGUUGUAAACCUCUUUCAGCGGGGACGAAGCGAAAGUGACGGUACCCGCAGAAGAAGCACCGGCCAACUACGUGCCAGCAGCCGCGGUAAUACGUAGGGUGCGAGCGUUGUCCGGAAUUAUUGGGCGUAAAGGGCUCGUAGGCGGUUUGUCACGUCGGGAGUGAAAACUCAGGGCUCAGCCCUGAGCCUGCUUCCGAUACGGGCAGACUAGAGUGCGGUAGGGGAGACUGGAAUUCCUGGUGUAGCGGUGAAAUGCGCAGAUAUCAGGAGGAACACCGGUGGCGAAGGCGGGUCUCUGGGCCGUAACUGACGCUGAGGAGCGAAAGCGUGGGGAGCGAACAGGAUUAGAUACCCUGGUAGUCCACGCCGUAAACGUUGGGCGCUAGGUGUGGGGCUCUUUCCACGAGUUCCGUGCCGCAGCAAACGCAUUAAGCGCCCCGCCUGGGA
This 636-nucleotide ribosomal RNA is filed under the name uncultured bacterium. Its description in RNAcentral is "bacterial SSU rRNA". It matches the Rfam family "Bacterial small subunit ribosomal RNA", at positions 232 to 878 of the family's 1533-position model. The record is from RNAcentral.